RNAcentral lists this ribosomal RNA (449 nucleotides) under uncultured bacterium. RNAcentral's name for it is "bacterial SSU rRNA". It matches the Rfam family "Bacterial small subunit ribosomal RNA", at positions 29 to 524 of the family's 1533-position model. The record is from RNAcentral.
AACGAACGCUGGCGGCAGGCCUAACACAUGCAAGUCGAACGCCCUAGCAAUAGGGAGUGGCAGACGGGUGAGUAACACGUGGGAACCUUCCCUAUAGUACGGAAUAUACCAGGGAAACUUGGAGCAAUACCGUAUACGCCCGAGAGGGGAAAGAUUUAUCGCUAUAGGAUGGGCCCGCGUAGGAUUAGCUAGUUGGUGAGGUAAUGGCUCACCAAGGCGACGAUCCUUAGCGGUUUGAGAGAACGACCAGCCACACUGGGACUGAGACACGGCCCAGACUCCUACGGGAGGCAGCAGUGGGGAAUAUUGGACAAUGGGCGCAAGCCUGAUCCAGCCAUGCCGCGUGAGUGAUGAAGGCCUUAGGGUUGUAAAGCUCUUUUGCCGGGGACGAUAAUGACGGUACCCGGAGAAUAAGUCCCGGCUAACUUCGUGCCAGCCGCCGCGGUAAC